Molecule: ribosomal RNA, 487 nt
Filed under: uncultured Rhodoferax sp.
Lineage: Bacteria; Pseudomonadati; Pseudomonadota; Betaproteobacteria; Burkholderiales; Comamonadaceae
Description: bacterial SSU rRNA
Rfam family: Bacterial small subunit ribosomal RNA
Source: RNAcentral
AUUGAACGCUGGCGGCAUGCCUUACACAUGCAAGUCGAACGGCAGCACGGGAGCAAUCCUGGUGGCGAGUGGCGAACGGGUGAGUAAUAUAUCGGAACGUGCCCAGUCGUGGGGGAUAACGCAGCGAAAGCUGUGCUAAUACCGCAUACGAUCUCUGGAUGAAAGCGGGGGACCUGUAAGGGCCUCGCGCGAUUGGAGCGGCCGAUAUCAGAUUAGCUAGUUGGUGGGGUAAAGGCCCACCAAGGCGACGAUCUGUAGCUGGUCUGAGAGGACGACCAGCCACACUGGAACUGAGACACGGUCCAGACUCCUACGGGAGGCAGCAGUGGGGAAUUUUGGACAAUGGGCGCAAGCCUGAUCCAGCAAUGCCGCGUGCAGGAUGAAGGCCUUCGGGUUGUAAACUGCUUUUGUACGGAACGAAAAGGUCUGCCUUAAUACGGUGGGCCCAUGACGGUACCGUAAGAAUAAGCACCGGCUAACUACGUGC